Long non-coding RNA from Lathyrus oleraceus (garden pea), 963 nucleotides. RefSeq lists it as uncharacterized. NCBI's taxonomy places the organism in Eukaryota, Viridiplantae, Streptophyta, Magnoliopsida, Fabales, Fabaceae. The transcript has 4 exons. The record is from RefSeq and is a predicted model, not a curated record.
CAGUAAAAAAAUUCAACUGGACCAUCCAAAUUAUGUAAGGCACAUUAUACAAGCCUCAACUGGUUCACACGUGAAAUAUUGGGAAAGAAACCCUAACUGCGAAACCUAUUCUCACGAACGAGAGAAACGAAUUCACGAACGACUAAAUAAAAAGUUUGUUGUUGUGCGCCGUCGAUCAUGUUGCUGUCCUCCGUCAGUCGUAUUGACACGAGUGUGUUGCUAUGAUUGAUUCUCGUAUUUCUGGUUGUUGACAUUAUCGACGAAUUUUCAUGGAGUUCUGCUAAUGAAAUUCAUCGGAUAUUUCGGACCUCUAAAAUAUUUGGAGUGACUUUGUUUCAGUAGGAGACUUGGAGUAGAAGACUGGUAUUUAUGUUGUUUACUUAUGUACAGAUGACAUAUCAAGUUGAGUGCAUUUUUGUUUCUUAUUGGAGAUGAAGUUGAAUAAGAAUGAGGUUGCAGAAUGGUGUUGCCAGAUUUUAUGACAUAAUGGAUAAAACCUCGUGUGGAAUUAAAGGCUUCUACUUCACUUCACAAUCCUUACAAUUACCUACUCAUGAUAAGAGGAGCACAUGUUUACUUGGCUGUCAGCAGGUCAUCCCUUGGGUCAAUGUGGUUGCCUAUUAAGGACUGAAUCACAACUGUCCUAGAGUGGUUUUUCCACUGGCGGCCUAGGUAUCUAUGAAGAUGAUAAAGAGGGCGACAAUGUAAGUGAGGAAUUUUAAGAGGACGACAGAAGUGAUGAAUAUAAGGUAGAUGAUGAUUCAAGAGAACGGUAUAAGUGAUGAACUUCAAGAAGAUGACAUAGAUGAAGAGGAUGAUGAAUUCGAAAAACUUAAAUGAGUUGGAUGAUGCUCUUUUAGGUUUGUACUUAAGUAUUAAAUUACGUAUUUUGUCAUUUUUUUUUACUUAUAUUAAUAAGUAUUAAACGUAUAAUAUUAAUUAAUGUUAGAUAUUUUGUGUCUA